AGUGCUGUGGCUUAGUUGGUUAAAGCGCCGGUUUAAAGAAUACGAAGUCGUCGGUUCAAAUCCCACCAGAACAC
Aedes albopictus (Asian tiger mosquito) is the source of this 74-nucleotide non-coding RNA. Lineage: Eukaryota; Metazoa; Arthropoda; Insecta; Diptera; Culicidae. The record is from Rfam.